GAUGAAGAACGCAGCGAAAUGCGAUAACUAAUGUGAAUUGCAGAAUUCCGUGAAUCAUCGAGUCUUUGAACGCACAUUGCGCCCCCUGGUAUUCCGGGGGGCAUGCCUGUCCGAGCGUCAUUGCUGCCCAUCAAGCACGGCUUGUGUGUUGGGUCCCGUCCCCCUCUCCCGGGGGACGGACCCGAAAGGCAGCGGCGGCACCGCGUCCGGUCCUCGAGCGUAUGGGGCUUUGUCACCCGCUCUUGUAGGCCCGGCCGGCGCUUGCCGACACCCAACCAUUUUUUUCAGGUUGAACUCGGAUCAGGUAGGGAUACCCGCUGAACUUAAGCAUAUCAAUAAGCGGAGGA
This 347-nucleotide unclassified non-coding RNA is filed under the name soil metagenome. RNAcentral's name for it is "partial contains 5.8S ribosomal RNA, internal transcribed spacer 2, and large subunit ribosomal RNA". The stretch from base 1 to 120 matches the Rfam family "5.8S ribosomal RNA", at positions 35 to 154 of the family's 154-position model. The record is from RNAcentral.